RNAcentral lists this ribosomal RNA (463 nucleotides) under uncultured bacterium. Its description in RNAcentral is "bacterial SSU rRNA". It matches the Rfam family "Bacterial small subunit ribosomal RNA", at positions 1 to 474 of the family's 1533-position model. The record is from RNAcentral.
AUUAGAGUUUGAUCAUGGCUCAGAUUGAACGCUGGCGGCAUGCCUUAACAUGCAAGUCGAACGGUAACAGCUCUUCGGAGGCUGACGAGUGGCGAACGGGUGAGUAAUACAUCGGAACGUGCCCGAUCGUGGGGGAUAACGGAGCGAAAGCUUUGCUAAUACCGCAUACGAUCUACGGAUGAAAGCAGGGGACCCUCGGGCCUUGCGCGAACGGAGCGGCCGAUGGCAGAUUAGGUAGUUGGUGGGAUAAAAGCUUACCAAGCCGACGAUCUGUAGCUGGUCUGAGAGGACGACCAGCCACACUGGGACUGAGACACGGCCCAGACUCCUACGGGAGGCAGCAGUGGGGAAUUUGGACAAUGGGCGAAAGCCUGAUCCAGCAAUGCCGCGUGCAGGAUGAAGGCCUUCGGGUUGUCAACUUUUGUACGGAACGAAAAGUCUCGGGAUAAUACCCUGGACCAUG